GUCCGAGAUGGCGGAGUGGUUAACGCACCUACCUAGUAAGAAGGAGAUCCCGGGUUCGAAUCCCGCUCUGGAACA
Molecule: non-coding RNA, 75 nt
Organism: Schistocerca serialis cubense
Lineage: Eukaryota; Metazoa; Arthropoda; Insecta; Orthoptera; Acrididae
Source: the annotation of a RefSeq genome assembly